Molecule: unclassified non-coding RNA, 212 nt
Filed under: root metagenome
Description: partial contains small subunit ribosomal RNA, internal transcribed spacer 1, and 5.8S ribosomal RNA
Source: RNAcentral
UCUCCGUUGGUGAACCAGCGGAGGGAUCAUUACAGAGUUGUAAAACUCCCAAACCCAUGUGAACAUACCUGUUGCCUCGGUGGCCUACCCGGUAGCUACCCUGUAGCUACCCUGUAGUCCGCCGACGGAACUUAAAACUCUUGUUUUCAAUUGUCAUUUCUGAGAAUAAAACAAAUAAAUUAAAACUUUCAACAACGGAUCUCUUGGCUCUG